Rhincodon typus (whale shark) is the source of this 1081-nucleotide long non-coding RNA. RefSeq lists it as uncharacterized. NCBI's taxonomy places the organism in Eukaryota, Metazoa, Chordata, Chondrichthyes, Orectolobiformes, Rhincodontidae. The transcript has 4 exons. The record is from RefSeq and is a predicted model, not a curated record.
UAGAGGGCAAUUAGGGAUAGGAGAUGUUCCUGCCCACAUUGGUGGUGUCACAAACUUUGGUGAUAAUGUGGAUGACGAAUGGUUGAUUGUCUACCUCAUUCAACAAGUCACCAAAGAGUUCCCAAACUUAGUGGCAAGUGUUGAUGAUAAUGAUGGGGACUUCUUGUUGAUUGAAGCUGCUGAGCACCUACCCAAAUGGUUGAACCCUGACACUAGUGAAAACCGGGUAUAUUUUUAUCGUGGAGAGUUGCAUAUCAUCCCAAUCCCUCGGAACCCGGGGGAACUCUCUUGGUUACCAGUUAGCAAUCCUACCAUUUCUCAAGCCCUCAGUCUGCUCAACACUCAUUCUGACAAAUGUCUGGCAGCAGAACCCAUUCGCAAAGCUAUAAGGAGACGCAUUCAAAGGUAAUUAGAAUUGGUUCUGAAUCUUUAGUUAAAUCUUAGAACAAUGAAAAUGCAAUUAGCCAAUACAUUCUCUAUAUCUCUCACUCCAAAAACUUCAGAAAACAAAAGCAACCUGUUAUAGAAAUUCCAUUUUUCUGAAAGCAAAAUCAGGCACAUGUGGAGGCUGCCAUGACCCUGCUGGAGAACUUCAAGCUUCCUCUAUACAAGGGAUAUUCUGGCCUACGUGCUGAUUCUGUUAAUGUCUGGAAUUUCUCACAUUCUACAAUGUAGCUCCGCAAAAGUUCUUCCUUGUUCAUUCUACAAAUACUUUCCUGAUCUUUGAUCUUUUUUUCUAAACCAUAUAAUAAUCUUUGGAUACUUUGCAACUCCUAUAAGCUUAGGUGAUGCAAGGCAACAUCUAGAAUUAAGGCAUUGAAAUUCCAUCAGCUAAGAAAGUGCAUUUCCGCAUUCCUGUGCCACCACUUGAAGUGUUUACUGUUCUCCACAAGUGAAUCCUGAGUCUCAGCUGAAUAUUUGAGUUUGGAUUUGUAGCGGAGAUUGGAAACUGAACUGUACUGCUAACAUAACUGAGAAUCAGUGCAUUCAUCUUGCUAUUGAUUUCCUGCGUUCAUUCAAGCAAGUUGGGAAUCUGAUUCAAAUGCAUGAAAUAGUCAAUCCAGUUAUGAUGUGGCAGUUA